CAUGCUAGUUGUACGUCUAACGUAGCGAAAAGCUCCGUAACACGUGGCCAAUACUACCCUCUGGAGGACGAUACUCUCGGGAAACUGAGGCUAAUAGUCCAUACGACACUCGAGUUGGAAUACUGGGUGUCCGAAACGCUCCGGCGCCAGAGGAUGUGGCUGCGGCUGAUUAGGUAGACGGUGGGGUAACGGCCCACCGUGCCGAUAAUCAGUACGGGUUGUGAGAGCAAGAGCCCGGAGACGGAAUCUGAGACAAGAUUCCGGGCCCUACGGGGCGCAGCAGGCGCGAAACCUUUACACUGCACGCCAGUGCGAUAAGGGGACCCCGAGUGCGAGGGCAUACUAGCCCUCGCUUUUCUGAACCGUAGGGGGGUUCAGGAACAAGAGCUGGGCAAGACCGGUGCCAGCCGCCGCGGUAAUACCGGCAGCUCGAGUGAUGACCGAUGUUAUUGGGCCUAAAGCGUCCGUAGCUGGCCUCGCAAGUCCGUCGGGAAAUCCAUCGGCUCAACCGAUGGGCGUCCGGCGGAAACUGCGUGGCUUGGGACCGGAAGGCUCGAGGGGUACGUCCGGGGUAGGAGUGAAAUCCCGUAAUCCUGGACGGACCACCGAUGGCGAAAGCACCUCGAGAGGACGGAUCCGACAGUGAGGGACGAAAGCUGGGGUCUCGAACCGGAUUAGAUACCCGGGUAGUCCCAGCCGUAAACGAUGCCAGUUAGGUGUGGCAGAGGCUACGAGCCUCUGCUGUGCCGUACGGAAGCCUAGAAACUGGCCGCCUGGGAAGUACGUCCGCAAGGAUGAAACUUAAAGGAAUUGGCGGGGGAGCACUACAACCGGAGGAGCCUGCGGUUUAAUUGGAUUCAACGCCGGGA
RNAcentral lists this ribosomal RNA (869 nucleotides) under uncultured archaeon. Its description in RNAcentral is "bacterial SSU rRNA". It matches the Rfam family "Archaeal small subunit ribosomal RNA", at positions 50 to 923 of the family's 1478-position model. The record is from RNAcentral.